This 380-nucleotide long non-coding RNA is filed under the name Manihot esculenta (cassava). RNAcentral describes it as "long non-coding RNA (MESC_LNC010970)". Lineage: Eukaryota; Viridiplantae; Streptophyta; Magnoliopsida; Malpighiales; Euphorbiaceae. The record is from RNAcentral.
UCCAAUGUUAGGUACACAUAGUCUGUUACCAUAGUACAAGUAACCAUCAUCACUUAUCACAUGCUUCUGCUUCUUCCCCUCUUGUACUUGUCUAGUCCAUAAGGCUAUCUCUGUAUCUUCUUUCUGUGCUUCUUUAAUUUGUUGCAGUAAGUUGGGUCUAACUUUCAAUUCUGCUACGAUAGCUCCAUCAUCUGCUAUAGUCAACUGCGCAUUCAUUGCUCUUAAUGCAAAUAAGGAUUUCCUGCUGAGUGCAUCUGCUACCAGAUUAGCUUUGCCUGGGUGAUAAUCUAUAAUGCAAUCAUAAUCUUUCAGUAACUCCAUCCAUCUUCUCUGUCUCAGGUUUAGCUCCUUUUGUGUGGGCAAGUAUUUCAGGCUUUUAU